This 257-nucleotide unclassified non-coding RNA is filed under the name uncultured fungus. Its description in RNAcentral is "partial contains 5.8S ribosomal RNA, internal transcribed spacer 2, and large subunit ribosomal RNA". Lineage: Eukaryota; Fungi. The record is from RNAcentral.
AACGCACAUUGCGCCCAUCAGUAUUCUGUUGGGCAUGCCUGUUCGAGCGUCAUUUCAACCUUCAAGCCCUGGCUGCUUGGUGUUGGGGUGUCCUACGGCCUAGCCGUAGGCCCCGAAAACCAGUGGCGGUCUCGCUAGGACCCCGAGCGUAGUAGAUAUUUUUCUCGCUUAGGGGAGCCUGGUGGGUUUCUAGCCGUUAAACUCCCAAAUUUUACAAGGUUGACCUCGGAUCAGGUAGGAAUACCCGCUGAACUUAA